CAGACAAAGAAUAAGAUGCGUAAUCGGAUAGAAUUAAUUGACGGUUUUAUUGGUUUCGAGAGAAUAAUGCCAGUAUAUGCUCUAUCUUGGGUCAUCCGUUUAUAUUCUGAAUCAUAAAAGUAAGCGAAGCAACCGAGAGGCAUAUAAGUUUUGAUGUCUUGUGAUUCUAAUCCAUAAAUCUAAUUUGGUGUGAAUACAUUGUCAUUUGUAGAGAAGAUGUUCGUUAUGAAGACGGCAUCACGUAUAGCAUCGCUCCAAUAAUUUACCGCAUAUAUUGAGGAGUAACCUUAAGCACGAU
Long non-coding RNA from Zophobas morio, 298 nucleotides. RefSeq lists it as uncharacterized. The transcript has 4 exons. The record is from RefSeq and is a predicted model, not a curated record. Lineage: Eukaryota; Metazoa; Arthropoda; Insecta; Coleoptera; Tenebrionidae.